GUGGGGAAUAUUGGUCAAUGGGGGAAACCCUGAACCAGCAACGCCGCGUGAAGGAAGAAGGCUUUCGGGUUGUAAACUUCUUUUAUGUGGGACGAAAAAAAUGACGGUACCACAUGAAUAAGCCACGGCUAACUACGUGCCAGCAGCCGCGGUAAUACGUAGGUGGCAAGCGUUGUCCGGAUUUACUGGGUGUAAAGGGCGCGUAGGCGGAUGUGCAAGUCAGAUGUGAAAUACCAGGGCUCAACCCUGGGGCUGCAUUUGAAACUGUGCAUCUUGAGUGAUGGAGAGGCAAGCGGAAUUCCUAGUGUAGCGGUGAAAUGCGUAGAUAUUAGGAGGAACACCAGUGGCGAAGGCGGCUUGCUGGACAUUAACUGACGCUGAGGCGCGAAAGCGUGGGGAGCAAACAGGAUUAGAUACCCCUGUAGUCC
Molecule: ribosomal RNA, 428 nt
Filed under: uncultured bacterium
Lineage: Bacteria
Description: partial 16S ribosomal RNA
Rfam family: Bacterial small subunit ribosomal RNA
Source: RNAcentral